Molecule: ribosomal RNA, 524 nt
Filed under: uncultured bacterium
Lineage: Bacteria
Description: partial 16S ribosomal RNA
Rfam family: Bacterial small subunit ribosomal RNA
Source: RNAcentral
GACGAACGCUGGCGGCGUGCCUAAUACAUGCAAGUCGAACGAAGCCUUUUUAACUGGUGCUUGCACCGACUUAAACAACUGAGUGGCGAACGGGUGAGUAACACGUGGGUAACCUGCCCCAAAGCGGGGGAUAACAUUUGGAAACAGAUGCUAAUACCGCAUAACCACAGAAACCACAUGGUUUCUGUGUCAAAGAUGGUUUCGGCUAUCACUUUGGGAUGGACCCGCGGCGUAUUAGCUAGUUGGUAAGGUAAUGGCUUACCAAGGCAAUGAUACGUAGCCGAACUGAGAGGUUGAUCGGCCACAUUGGGACUGAGACACGGCCCAAACUCCUACGGGAGGCAGCAGUAGGGAAUCUUCCACAAUGGACGAAAGUCUGAUGGAGCAACGCCGCGUGAGUGAAGAAGGUUUUCGGAUCGUAAAACUCUGUUGUCAGAGAAGAACGUGUGCGAGAGUAACUGUUCGUGCAGUGACGGUAUCUGGCCAGAAAGCCACGGCUAACUACGUGCCAGCAGCCGCCGCGG